This is a long non-coding RNA of Bicyclus anynana (squinting bush brown), 1877 nucleotides long. RefSeq lists it as uncharacterized. The record is from RefSeq and is a predicted model, not a curated record. The transcript has 2 exons. Lineage: Eukaryota; Metazoa; Arthropoda; Insecta; Lepidoptera; Nymphalidae.
GCAGGCUGAUUAUGUAUCUCGACGUAUCACUUCUAACUGUGUAACGCAAAGCUAAAUUGAACACUAGAGUGUUUUUGCAAUUCCGAUUAUGUAAGACAAAAGACAGCCACAAUGCCUAGUGAUAUCGUUCUAGGCGCAAAAUUUUAUCGACAUUAUGCGACUAAAUAAAAUACACCCUUUCCCGGUACUACUUACUACGGGUGCGGCAUACUUUUGCACAUAUACGCAUUAUACUUGAUUUUGCUGUUUGUCUGUGGUGAAGUGAAGUGCCAUAGUUUCUUUGUUGGUAAACAAAGCCGUAUUAAAAUAUUAAUAAAAAAAUUGGUUUCGUUGGAUCAAAGUACUUGCUACUGCUAGUUUUUUGUUUUCAAUAGAAGUAAUUAAUUAAUCAUUUUAUCGUAUACAUUUUUAUUAGUGUUAAUAGUUAAUUUAUCAAAGUAAACGGCCACUUUUACAUAAAACAUUAUCUACACGAAAGUUCUUCAAAGUUUUCUCGUCUGCCUAUGAUUAAUUUAAUGGUCGUUGUGAUAAUAUGUAAAGUAUAUUGUAUAGUGUUUUGUUUAUUAAAGUUCAUCGCUUGCAACUAAAGAUGUCCGGGAAACUCAAUGAUCGCCUUGGCUUGGAUCAAACUUGGCGAUGGGUUGUUUUGGAGGGCCUUUGGAAAGUCAGGCUACUAAAUAAAUCUUCCGUGUUCGCGUCUGCCAGUGGCGUUGUAUCAACAUGAAGAUGUGGGCUCUAAACUUUGAGUGCCAGGGACUGACUAUGGAAGUCUCCAUGUCGCUGGUCACCAUUGAGGUGCAAAACACCUUGAAAAAAUUGGUGAUUCUGAAUCCUUCAUCUCUAUGAACGAUUCAUGAAGAAAGAAUUAAACAAACAUUUAAUGAACAGAUUUUUUAUAAGAUAAUAUCAAUAAUGACAUUGCAUAUGAGAGAAAAUUGUCAAAUAUAAUUUCAUUUUAAUUUAAUAUAGUUAAUUAUGACAUCACUGUAUAUAAAGAAUAUGAUUAUUAUCAUUUGGUUAAUUUCAGUAUUACAUAGUAUUAGAUAAAAAUUUUAUUGUAAAAUUGCACAUCAAAAUAUGUUUUAUUAUCUAUUAUUAGGAGGAAAUAUUAUUUAACUAUUAUUAUUAUCCCUAAUAGCCCAGUGAAUGUGACCUCUGCCUCCAAUUCCGGAGGGUGUGGGUUCGAACCCGUUCCGGGGCACGCACCUCUAACUUUUCAGUUGUGUGCAUUUUAAGAAACUAAAUAUCACGUGUCUCAAACAGUGAAGGAAAACAUCGUGAGGAAACCUGCAUACCAGAGAAUUCUCUUAAUUCUCUGCAUAUGUGAUGUCUGCCAAUGUAAUCCAAAUAUGCUGGCCCAUAUUCGGCUCCUGUCAGAAUGAGAGGGGUUAGGCAUUGGCCUUCCCUUACCUUAUCAGCCGAUAGACGUCCACUGCUGGACAUAGGCCUCUUACAUGGACCUCCAAGCACAACGACCUUGAGCCGCGAACAUCCAACCAACCGACCAACCACGCUUUCCAGUGCGGGGUCUCCCGAGUGCGGGUAGGCACUAACCCCUCUUACUGGGGGAGACUCGAGCUCAGCAGUGAGCCGAAUAUGUGUUUAUAAUGAUGAUGAUGAUGAUGAUGUUGAUGAUGAUGAUGGAUGAUGAUGAUUAUUUAAGUAAUUGUAAAAGAAAAAAUUGAAUACUACAUUAGUUGUUUAUCUAUACAAUUCAAUAAUUUUAAGAACAAAACAUGUACCUACCACAUUGUAGGAAAUAAAUAAACAAUGAUUUGAUUAAAAACAAUGUUGUUUAAUGUUAAGCAGGUAGGGCCAGGUAGUUCUAUAUUUGUGUAACAUCUAUUACUUAAAAAUAAAAAAUAUAUUUACUUGUG